AUAUAUAUAUAUAUAUAUAUAUAUAUAUAUGGAGAGAGAGCAUAAAGGAAGGGUCACGGAUUGCAGAUGUCAUACACAACAGAAGCAGAAAGAAGGGUGAAAAUGCAACGGCGCCUGGUGAUUAUAUAUGCCCAACCUGCGAUCGCAGCAGUGUAUCAAGGAUUGGCCUCUUUAGUCACACAAGAAGUUGCAAAGGAUUUGAUUUGGUGAUCCCUCUUCAGAAACAUCAGAUCAAAGGAAUGUACAUGCUGCUGAUAUAGAAAAAGUUUCUGACUGCUUACAGAUCAGUGUUCUUAGUUCUGCUAUUGAUUUACUAUUGCAUAAUAAAUAAACAUGUAAUGAUCAAUCACAUUUUUAUACCAAGUUCAUCUAAUGAUUUACACAGCAUAUUAUCAGCAUUCACAGUUCAUCUAAUGAUCUACAUAUGAAGCAGCACCAUGCAGAGCUAACAUCACCUACUGAAGAGAGUUUCCAUCAUGCUUUAGCAACAAUCCAAAAACAAAAUGAAAAAGUGGUUUCUUUGUUUGGGACAAGUCCUGAAAGGCCUUCAGAAUCUGGGAGCACACUAUUGUUAACAAGCAGUGUGUCAUAUGACCAGCACAAUGACCAACAGCCUUUACUUUUCGAACCAAAGUCAGGACACUGUUCAAAGAUAUUUUAAGAUGUUGGCCUCACAUCUUGACACUUGUUAGAGUGUAAAGAUUUGACUUAACAAAUGUUAAAAUAAAAAGAGCACAUUGUGGAGGGUUGACCGUCAUUAAAAAAUUUACAUGUACUUAUUCUGUUUAAAAAAAUGUCCCUCUAACAAAUAAAAAAAAAUAAAGUAAAUAUAUUACUCUUCUUUUUUGUAAGGUUUAGCUGAUUUGCUUCACUUUCUUACCUUUUUUUUUUUUACACUUAUAAUAAACUUAGGAAAUCAGUAUUUGCUCAGGCUAUGAGCAAACCACAAACAAUACCAACUGAAAUAUACAGAAACUAGUUGACACAACAUAACCUGUGGUAAAAAAAUGGGUUAGCUGAUUUAACUAGAAAAAAAGCAGAAACAAUAGAGACCACUCUAUUUGAAAAGUACAACAAUCCAAAGUUAUGUACUUAAAAUCCAACCAAAGAAAUGAAAAAAAAGGCAAACAUAAUGGGGGGGGGGGGGGUCACUUUAUCACAUUGUCAAUGUUUGGGACUGUGAUAGAAGUUAGAAAAAAAAUUAAUAAAAUUUGUACUAAUUAAAAAUAUAUAUAAAAAAAGUUUUUUUUAAACAUUGUGUUUAUUUUUUAGAUGGCCACCAUCUCCAUAGAGACCCAAAAGACUAGACUAGACAUGCCUAAAGCCUAUCUUCUUAACUAUAAAGUUAUAUAAAAAAAUUGAAAUUUCACAGUACAUCCCCCUUAUGUAAAAUAGGCAUAUUGAUCAUUUUCUUAUAAAAUUGAUUUAAUUUUAGCUCUUUAAGGCAUUCUGCUAAAAAUUAUCUUAAUUGAUUUAUUAAACUUAGAGGAUUUGAAUUUUGCUGAUGAUAUUUAGCUUCUAUUUCAUUUUUAAAAAUGUCAGUCUAAAAUUGGGCUAGCAGGCUACUAAACCAGAUUAUGAUAAUAAAAUGCCUAGUAGAUAAUCUAUUACUUUGGAUGGAUGUCUGUUACAGUCUGUCAACAACCUGAGUUGUAUUAUGAAUGAAAAAAUGCUGAUGUCAAAGCAAUGGAUAGUAAUGCAAGAGUCUCCUCUAUACAGCUCAAGAAAAUUCAGACCUCAAAAGGCAUAUCUUUGAGAAUUUAAUUUAUAUUUUUCAAAACUGAUAGGUUUUGCACUAUGAAAGUAUGAAUUUGAUAUCUAGCUAAGAACAACUAGUAACACCUGUAAUGUAACCAACAUAAAUGGUACACACUGACUUGCUGGUCAUCAAAAUGUAGAAUGGUCUGUGUUAUUGUGUCCCGGACCUACACUUAGCAUGUAACAAAUAUAAAUAGUACACACUGACUUGAGUCCAAUUUUAAUAAUAAUAAUAUACUGUAACUUCAAGCAUUCAGUUACAAAUCACUGGUUGAAUGAGAAAAUGCUGGAUAUCCUUCAUAGCUGUUACACAAACAUAAUCCACAUAUAGAAAUACAGUUACAAAUGCAUCAAAGUGAUAUCAAAUAAUAAUUCCUUUAGAAUAAGUAUAUCUCUGGUCAGUUGAGCAUUAUCCAAAAGUUCCAUUAAAUGUUUGUUCUAAACAAUGUUUUCAAUUUAUAAUUAAGAUUUAAUGUUGGUAUAUGUUUAAAAAAAAGAAAGUCUUUUGUUUGGUAUUUAAUUCAUGUCUGAAUUCAUAUCAAUAUAAUGAAUUUUAAUGGUAAAAAGAUCAGUGGCUGUUAUUCAUCUCAUUUCUUUCUCCAGGAUUGUCAGACUUCUGCUAGAUGUUGAUCUUUUCAUCACAACACCAAUAACUUCUUCUUGGAGUCAAGAAAAAGCUAUUUAAAUUCCCUUAAAGAUCACAAAUUAAUGCUGAUGACAUAAAGCACAUUUAUCCACGAAAUCUUAUGAACACAUAAUAUUAUGUUGUACAACUAAAUAGUGGUGUCUGGAAAUUUAGGCAGUGUGUAUGUAGUGUAUAUGCUUAUUUAUUAUUUAUCUGUUUCUUAAACAUAGGCUUAUGUUCCCCGCGCUACCCAAACUAUAAUUCGGAGUGUGAAACAUAACAGAUUAACAGGUGCUAUAUUAUGUUUCGUUUAACAAAGAUUUUCUUACACUCUACAUAUUCCUCCCCCCCCCCCGAGAGGUGGGCCAGGGGUAGUGGUAAGUAUUAUAAUCACGGACUGAGAAGACCUAACGGCGAGCGAGAAAGGGGUUACGUCGUCACUAGAUCUGUGUGAGCUCAAUACAAUUUUUUCUCUUCGUGGUGUAGUCUUAAUCAUAAACAGAUAAAAAUUAAAGUUUUAAGAUACUGUUAAUCUUCUAUAAUAAAAUGCUUAUUUCUUAUAGUAAUACGUUUCCCGUACUAGAUCUUUAUAAUUUAUUGUCAUUGCUCUAUAUAGUAUAGAUCACUUACUCACAAUGCAUACUUUUGUUGAAAAGAAAAAUAAUUAAACAUAUCGUGUAGAUAUAGAUGCGUGUUUCAUUAUGUUCGUGUAUAUUUUUGUUUUAUUUUAUCAAUAUUUCGCUUUGCUUGGUGACUUAAUAGAUAAAAAUAAAUCUAAUUGUUAAUA
Molecule: long non-coding RNA, 3170 nt
Organism: Biomphalaria glabrata
Lineage: Eukaryota; Metazoa; Mollusca; Gastropoda; Planorbidae
Exons: 4
Source: RefSeq, a predicted model, not a curated record